UAGACAAAUCAAAUCUGCCAAAUCUUCUCC
RNAcentral lists this non-coding RNA (30 nucleotides) under Mus musculus (house mouse). Lineage: Eukaryota; Metazoa; Chordata; Mammalia; Rodentia; Muridae. The record is from RNAcentral.